UCGACUCUCUUAGACCUAAUCCUACGCAGCAGAGACAAUGGGUAACGCUUGAGAUGAAGGGCGAUGAAGGAGCAAUCAAGGAAAACUGGGCGUCUGAAAGCUAACAAGUUCCCACUGAUUUUUGGACUAUCAUGGAAAUAACACAAUUCUACAAUUUCAUAAACAACAAUAAAAUAGGAGAAAACCAAACAAACAAAUCAAACAUAUGCACUGUUUUCAUAUCAAAAAAAUCGAACAAAUUGAAACACGGUCAGAAAUGAAACUUGUACCAACUGAACGGAUCGGAACCAUGAUGCCAACAGAAAACCUUCUUCGAUAUAUUAACCAAGAGAAACUCAAACCAAGCUUUGUACAACAACCAUGACCUUUGAACUAAGAAAAAUGAAACCGGACAAUGAUGUCAGAAUCAAAGCCGCAAACAGGACCUCUUCCCGAGCUCGGAUAAAAACAGGACAUUGUUGGUGCGGCAACAGCGUUCUAUGGUGUUAGGGGUCAUUUUCCGGCAGGUUUGGUGGUUGAAACUAGUUCUCGCUAGGGUGGGGUUCGGGGGGUGUGACGAGGACAAUAGUUCGC
RNAcentral lists this long non-coding RNA (573 nucleotides) under Nicotiana benthamiana. RNAcentral's name for it is "long non-coding RNA (NBEN_LNC041863)". Lineage: Eukaryota; Viridiplantae; Streptophyta; Magnoliopsida; Solanales; Solanaceae. The record is from RNAcentral.